AACGAACGCUGGCGGCAUGCCUAACACAUGCAAGUCGAACGAGACCUUCGGGUCUAGUGGCGCACGGGUGCGUAACGCGUGGGAACCUGCCCUUAGGUUCGGAAUAACUCCCCGAAAGGGGUGCUAAUACCGGAUAAUGUCUUCGGACCAAAGAUUUAUCGCCUUUGGAUGGGCCCGCGUUGGAUUAGCUAGUUGGUAGGGUAAAAGCCUACCAAGGCGAAGAUCCAUAGCUGGUCUGAGAGGAUGAUCAGCCACACUGGGACUGAGACACGGCCCAGACUCCUACGGGAGGCAGCAGUGGGGAAUAUUGGAAAAUGGGCGAAAGGCUGAUCCAGCAAUGCCGCGUGAGUGAUGAAGGCCUUAAGGUUGUAAAGCUCUUUUACCCGGGAUGAUAAUGACAGUACCGGGAGAAUAAGCUCCGGCUAACUCCGUG
This 433-nucleotide ribosomal RNA is filed under the name uncultured bacterium. RNAcentral's name for it is "partial 16S ribosomal RNA". It matches the Rfam family "Bacterial small subunit ribosomal RNA", at positions 29 to 507 of the family's 1533-position model. The record is from RNAcentral.